CCUACGGGCGGCAGCAGUGAGGAAUAUUGGUCAAUGGACGAGAGUCUGAACCAGCCAAGUAGCGUGAAGGAUGACUGCCCUAUGGGUUGUAAACUUCUUUUAUAUGGGAAUAAAAUGUUCCACGUGUGGGAUUUUGUAUGUACCAUAUGAAUAAGGAUCGGCUAACUCCGUGCCAGCAGCCGCGGUAAUACGGAGGGUCCGAGCGUUAACCGGAUUUAGUGGGUGUAAAGGGGGCGUAGGUUGAUUGUUAAGUCAGUUGUGAAAGUUUGCGGCGCAACCGUAAAAUUGCAGUUGAAACUGGAAGGAUUGAGUACAGUAGAGGUGGGCGGAAUUCGUGGUGUAGCGGUGAAAUGCUUAGAUAUCACGAAGAACUCCGAUUGCGAAGGCAGUUCACUGGACUGCAACUGACACUGAGGCUCGAAAGUGUGGGUAUCAAACAGGAUUAGAUACCCUGGUAGUC
RNAcentral lists this ribosomal RNA (460 nucleotides) under uncultured bacterium. Its description in RNAcentral is "partial 16S ribosomal RNA". It matches the Rfam family "Bacterial small subunit ribosomal RNA", at positions 338 to 795 of the family's 1533-position model. The record is from RNAcentral.